This 76-nucleotide transfer RNA is filed under the name Candidatus Margulisiibacteriota bacterium. Its description in RNAcentral is "tRNA-Gly". It matches the Rfam family "tRNA". Rfam says of the family: Transfer RNA (tRNA) molecules are approximately 80 nucleotides in length. Their secondary structure includes four short double-helical elements and three loops (D, anti-codon, and T loops). Further hydrogen bonds mediate the characteristic L-shaped molecular structure. tRNAs have two regions of fundamental functional importance: the anti-codon, which is responsible for specific mRNA codon recognition, and the 3' end, to which the tRNAs corresponding amino acid is attached (by aminoacyl-tRNA synthetases). tRNAs cope with the degeneracy of the genetic code in two manners: having more than one tRNA (with a specific anti-codon) for a particular amino acid; and 'wobble' base-pairing, i.e. permitting non-standard base-pairing at the 3rd anti-codon position. The record is from RNAcentral. Lineage: Bacteria; Bacillati; Candidatus Margulisiibacteriota.
GCGGGAGUAGCUCAAUUGGUAGAGCAUCGGCCUUCCAAGCCGAAGGUUGCGAGUUCGAGGCUCGUCUCCCGCUCCA